GACGAACGCUGGCGGCGUGCUUAACACAUGCAAGUCGAACGGAAAGGCCCUGCUUUUGUGGGGUGCUCGAGUGGCGAACGGGUGAGUAACACGUGAGUAACCUGCCCUUGACUUUGGGAUAACUUCAGGAAACUGGGGCUAAUACCGGAUAGGAGCUCCUGCUGCAUGGUGGGGGUUGGAAAGUUUCGGCGGUUGGGGAUGGACUCGCGGCUUAUCAGCUUGUUGGUGGGGUAGUGGCUUACCAAGGCUUUGACGGGUAGCCGGCCUGAGAGGGUGACCGGCCACAUUGGGAUUGAGAUACGGCCCAGACUCCGACGGGAGGCAGCAGGGGGGAAUAUUGCACAAUGGGCGGAAGCCUGAUGCAGCAACGCCGCGUGCGGGAUGACGGCCUUCGGGUUGUAAACCGCUUUCGCCUGUGACGAAGCGUGAGUGACGGUAAUGGGUAAAGAAGCACCGGCUAACUACGUG
This 468-nucleotide ribosomal RNA is filed under the name uncultured bacterium. Its description in RNAcentral is "partial 16S ribosomal RNA". It matches the Rfam family "Bacterial small subunit ribosomal RNA", at positions 28 to 507 of the family's 1533-position model. The record is from RNAcentral.